GUGCCAGCCGCCGCGGUAAAACGUAGGGGGCGAGCGUUAUCCGGAUUUACUGGGCGUAAAGCGCUCGUAGGCGGUUGGGUAAGUUGGGCGUGAAAGCUCCCGGCUUAACUGGGAGAGGUCGUUCAAAACUGCCUGGCUAGAGUGUGGGAGAGGAGAGUGGAAUUCCCGGUGUAGUGGUGGAAUGCGUAGAUAUCGGGAGGAACACCAGUGGCGAAGGCGGCUCUCUGGCCCACAACUGACGCUGAGGAGCGAAAGCGUGGGGAGCGAACGGGAUUAGAUACCCCGGUAGUCCACGCCGUAAACGAUGGAUACUAGGUGUGGGGAGUGAUUAAACUUUCCGUGCCGAAGCCAACGCGAUAAGUAUCCCGCCUGGGGAGUACGGCCGCAAGGUUAAAACUUAAAUGAAUUGACGGGG
This 415-nucleotide ribosomal RNA is filed under the name uncultured prokaryote. RNAcentral describes it as "bacterial SSU rRNA". It matches the Rfam family "Bacterial small subunit ribosomal RNA", at positions 505 to 918 of the family's 1533-position model. The record is from RNAcentral.